This 1266-nucleotide long non-coding RNA is filed under the name Phasianus colchicus (ring-necked pheasant). RNAcentral's name for it is "lncRNA (ENSPCLG00000020797.1)". The record is from RNAcentral. Lineage: Eukaryota; Metazoa; Chordata; Aves; Galliformes; Phasianidae.
UGGGACUGAGCCUUUGUGUUUUAUGAUCUCAAGUGUUCUGCAGUGACUUCCAGGGACAAAUUACUACUGGAAGGAUGCAUUCAUGAAAAGGAGUAAAAGGAUUAUCCUGAUUUCAGGCACAAAGUCCUUUCCAGAAACAAUACUAAACAUCUUGUUCAUCUGAUUUGCACAGAAGGGGGAAGAAGUCUUUAUGGCAAAGAUAAACUGCAGACUCAACUCUUUGUGUGGAUGUGUGUGUGCAUGUUAAAAUCUGCUGAAAAGCUAUUUAUGGAUUUGGGAGAGAAUGCAUUCAUUCCAUUUUUAUGGAGUUAAUGAAAUCUUGGCUUUUUCUUUCUUUAAAUACAAAGUUCUGUGGGAAAAAAUGACUAAGUAGGAAUAAUAAGUAAACAACAGAAGUAAAAAGGCUUGCUUUAGUUUUGGGGAAUUGUUCUAUUAUUGCAUUUUAAAUAUCAUAAUAAUCUUCUGUGAACACUUCCCCAAUUUUCAUGUGCUGUUAUGUUUUAAAGCUUUUUGACCAGUAAAUGAAAGUCUUCUGAUGUCAUUCAUGCUUUGAAUACUUUGCUGGCUCAGAGUCUUGGUAUCUGAACUGUCACCAGCCCUAGGAGUGCAUUUCUGAGUGCCUUUGACUUUUGGAAUGGACUGUAAAACUGUGAACCACAGAAGAACACCAUCCAUUCUAUGUUGGACUGAGGAUUAAUGUUUUCAAAUUUCUUCUAGUACAUGAUCUUAUAGCAUAGUAUUAUUUCCAUAGUUGUUCACACAUUGGCUAAACCAGCAAUCACAGCAUCCUAAGCAGGGAAGCUGCAAAUUUGAGCAGGCAUUUUGGCUACUUGUUAUCAUUAUUUCAUAGGUAGAAUCCUCCUAUUUAUUGACUAGUAAAACAGCAAAUAUUCUUCAGUGAAAAAGCUUAAAGUAGUUUACCUUUGCUAUUGUCCUUAACAUGAUCCUAACUUUCAGACAGGCCAUAUAAAAUAAGUUAAGAAUAGCAUAUAAAAUGCAGUAAGAAUUUCCUGGGUUCCACCCUGCUGUUCUGUAUCCUUGUUCAUACCUCUAAUCAUUUAAAUUGAGCUUAGCUCUAUAAACCUAAACUUCGUGUAUAUUUGAAAUUGAUAAUAUUGUAUUUAUUUUACAAAAAUCCAGUACAUUGUUUUAGAAGCAAGCAUAGGAAACUUUUGGUUACGUAUGGAGCAUAUGUUGCUGUAGAUUCCUUUCUUAAAGAAAUAAUUGAACAUUACUGGUCUCACAUGACUGUCUUUUCAUUCGUCU